RNAcentral lists this ribosomal RNA (511 nucleotides) under uncultured microorganism. RNAcentral describes it as "bacterial SSU rRNA". It matches the Rfam family "Bacterial small subunit ribosomal RNA", at positions 9 to 510 of the family's 1533-position model. The record is from RNAcentral.
GAGUUUGAUCGUGGCUCAGAUUGAACGCUGGCGGCACGCUUAACACAUGCAAGUCGGACGGCAGCACGGGUGCUUGCACCUGGUGGCGAGUGGCGGACGGGUGAGUAAUGCUUAGGGAUCUGGCGCGAAGCGGGGACAACACGGGGAAACUCGUGCUAAUACCGCAUAAGCUCUGAGGAGUAAAGAUGGCCUCUAUUUAUAAGCUAUCGCUUUGCGAUGAACCUAAGUCGGAUUAGCUAGUUGGUGGGGUAAAGGCCUACCAAGGCGACGAUCCGUAGCUGGUCUGAGAGGACGAUCAGCCACACUGGGACUGAGACACGGCCCAGACUCCUACGGGAGGCAGCAGUGGGGAAUAUUGGACAAUGGGGGCAACCCUGAUCCAGCGAUGCCGCGUGUGUGAAGAAGGCCUGCGGGUUGUAAAGCACUUUAGUUGGGUAAGAGAUAAGUUGUGUGAAUAAUGCAAUUUGAGACGUUACCCAAAGAAAUAAGACACCGGCUAAACUCUGUGCCA